RNAcentral lists this ribosomal RNA (622 nucleotides) under Penicillium carneum. Its description in RNAcentral is "eukaryotic LSU rRNA". It matches the Rfam family "Eukaryotic large subunit ribosomal RNA", at positions 1 to 637 of the family's 3401-position model. Lineage: Eukaryota; Fungi; Ascomycota; Eurotiomycetes; Eurotiales; Aspergillaceae. The record is from RNAcentral. RNAcentral also lists the same sequence under 1 other name.
UUGACCUCGGAUCAGGUAGGGAUACCCGCUGAACUUAAGCAUAUCAAUAAGCGGAGGAAAAGAAACCAACAGGGAUUGCCCCAGUAACGGCGAGUGAAGCGGCAAGAGCUCAAAUUUGAAAGCUGGCUCCUUCGGGGUCCGCAUUGUAAUUUGUAGAGGAUGCUUCGGGAGCGGUCCCCAUCUAAGUGCCCUGGAACGGGACGUCAUAGAGGGUGAGAAUCCCGUAUGGGAUGGGGUGUCCGCGCCCGUGUGAAGCUCCUUCGACGAGUCGAGUUGUUUGGGAAUGCAGCUCUAAAUGGGUGGUAAAUUUCAUCUAAAGCUAAAUAUUGGCCGGAGACCGAUAGCGCACAAGUAGAGUGAUCGAAAGAUGAAAAGCACUUUGAAAAGAGAGUUAAAAAGCACGUGAAAUUGUUGAAAGGGAAGCGCUUGCGACCAGACUCGCUCGCGGGGUUCAGCCGGCAUUCGUGCCGGUGUAUUUCCCCGCGGGCGGGCCAGCGUCGGUUUGGGCGGUCGGUCAAAGGCCCUCGGAAGGUAACGCCCCUAGGGGCGUCUUAUAGCCGAGGGUGCAAUGCGACCUGCCUAGACCGAGGAACGCGCUUCGGCUCGGACGCUGGCAUAAUGG